This is a long non-coding RNA of Oncorhynchus mykiss (rainbow trout), 1656 nucleotides long. RefSeq lists it as uncharacterized. The record is from RefSeq and is a predicted model, not a curated record. NCBI's taxonomy places the organism in Eukaryota, Metazoa, Chordata, Actinopteri, Salmoniformes, Salmonidae.
UGUGUGUGUGUGUGUGUGUGCUCAAACACACAUUUAUACACUAAUUGUAGUCUCACCCAUUCAUUUCUAAUGACCAAAAGUUAAAUAAAGCAACCUACAUUUUAUGAAAAUCAUCCAAAUGUAUUUUGUGUGUUCAGAUGCCCUGUGUGGACAAAGUCAUGGAACCUUGUGAAAAUCAGAUGAAAUAAACUACUUUUUUUUUCAGAGAGAAAACUUGUAAAUCGGUGCAAUUAGACCGGAACACAGCAGGAGGGUUAACUAGAGAUCAGCUGUUGAGUCAAUCAUUUAUGUUUCACUAGAUAGCACAGCCACAAAGUAAAAAUGGUCUAUAUCAUAAAAAUGUAUUAAAACAAAAAUAGCUUUUAGAUCAUAAUUUAAGGCUAGACAUAAGGUUAGUAGUGUGGUUAAGUUUAUGUUUAAAAUCUAAAUUUAAGAAAAUAAAUGCAGAAAUAGGCGGGGUUUAUGUCUUUGUGGCUGUGGUAACUAGUGACGACCCAGGCUACUCGCUUCUCUCCUACUAUCACCAGAAUUGAUAACCGAAAAACGUAUGAAAAAUUCAAAGAAAUGUACAUUUAACAAUGUCUUUUCAUGGAUGAUUAUGACUCAUUCUAGAUAUACACUUUGGAUAUUUAAAAUAAUAUGGCAGUGACAGUUACAGUAGUUUUUUCACUGUGGCACGUGAAAGGGGCACGACCCCCCAAGUUCAUAGGAAAACUGUCCUGGAGGGACCUGGCCUACUGGCAGCCAACACUGUUCCCUGACCUUCCUUGGGAACCACUGAGACAAGGUAAGGGCAGGGUUAACACUGACCUCUUCCUGGUUUGUAUCCAAUGAAAGCAGAACACUCACUCGCUUCCUGGUUUCUGUCCAAUCAGGCCCUUCGGUGGAGUAGUGAGCAGGAUCAUCUGAAGGCACGGCAGAGAGGCAGGACAGGUUGGGGUGGGCAACUCCAGUCCUCGUGGGCCUGAUUGGUCACACACUUUUUCUGCAUCCCUAGCAAACACAGCUGAUUAAUCAAAUUGCAUUCUAAACUGAAGCUCAUGAUUAGGUGAUUAUUGGAGUCAGUCGUGUUAUUUGGGGCUGGGGAAAAACUGUGACACCAAUCAGGCCCUUGAUGACUGGAACUGCCCACCCCUGCGUAUAGUAGACAGCUGUGGCUGACUGAAUGGAUGAACAACUAUCUUUCCUCAUAGUUUACCUCCAUCUACCAUGGCAGGAGGGAUACUGCUGGUUCCAGGUGAACACACACACACCAGAAUAUAGAGCUUUGUCUGUGUAAUUCACAUUUUACUGUGUGUGUAGGACACCCUGGUAGAUGCUGACAUGGCCAAAAAUGUCGUGAUGUGGCAGAAUGGAGGCAUGUGUGGUCUGGACCACUGGAACUGUCAUGCAUCCUGUUGACGCGGCCAUGACCUGUGACCCUAACGGAAGUUACGCCAGGACGUGGUGCCCUGAGCUGGCUGCUGUGCCUGAUGACUUCAUACACAAACCCUAUCUGGAGGAAAGGAGCCUCUCUCUGCAGGACGUGAAGUUGGUGAGCAGGCAUUUUGGGGAGUACGUGGACCUGCCCCCCCCCCCCCCUACUAGGUGUCAUUGUGUUAAAGUGCAAUAUUUGUACUAAGGAAUUCAAGCAAAUAUAAACAUUAAUGAAAAAUA